This 85-nucleotide ribosomal RNA is filed under the name Streptomyces regensis. The record is from RNAcentral. RNAcentral also lists the same sequence under 1 other name. Lineage: Bacteria; Bacillati; Actinomycetota; Actinomycetes; Kitasatosporales; Streptomycetaceae.
UUCGGUGGUCAUAGCGUGAGGGAAACGCCCGGUUACAUUCCGAACCCGGAAGCUAAGCCUCACAGCGCCGAUGGUACUGCAGGGG